ACCAAGCCGAUGGCGGGUAGCUGUUCUGAGAGGAAGAUCAGCCACACUGGCACAGAGAUACGGGCCAGACUCCUACGGGAGGCAGCAGUGAGGAAUAUUGCACAAUGGGCGAAAGCCUGAUGCAGCGACGCCGCGUGGGUGACGAAGGCCUUCGGGUCGUAAAACCCUUUUGGCAGGGACGAGUGAGGACGGUACCUGCCGAAUAAGUCUCGGCUAACUACGUGCCAGCAGCCGCGGUAAAACGUAGGAGGCGAGCGUUAUCCGGAUUCACUGGGCGUAAAGCGCGCGUAGGCGGUUAGGUAAGUCGGACGUUAAAGCCCCUGGCUCAACUGGGGGAGUCGUUCGAUACUGCUUGGCUUGAGGGUGAGAGAGGAAAGUGGAAUUCCCGGUGUAGCGGUGGAAUGCGUAGAGAUCGGGAGGAACACCAGUGGCGAAGGCGGCUUUCUGGCUCACUUCUGACGCUGAGAGCGCGAAAGCGUGGGGAGCAAACGGGAUUAGAUACCCCGGUAGUCCACGCUCUAAACGAUGAGGGCUGGGUGUUGGCAGGGUUUCCUGUCUGUGCCGAAGCAAACGCGUUAAGCCCUCCGCCUGGGGACUACGAACGCAAGUUUAAAACUCAAAGGAAUUGACGGGGGCCCGCACAAGCAGCGGAGCGUGUGGUUCAAUUCGAUUCAACACGAAGAACCUUACCAGGGUUUGACAUGCAAGUGGUAGUGAAGGGAAACUGGAACGACCCGCAAGGGAGCUUGCACAGGUGCUGCAUGGCUGUCGUCAGCUCGUGCCGUGAGGUGUUGGGUUAAGUCCCGCAACGAGCGCAACCCCUUUCGCUAGUUACAUGUGUCUAGCGAUACUGCCAGGUUAACCCUGGAGGAAGGCGGGGAUGAAGUCAAGUCAGCAUGGCCUUUAUAUCCUGGGCUACACACACGCUACAAUGGGUGCUACAGAGCGUUGCCAAGCCGUGAGGCGGAGCUAAUCGCACAAAAGCAUCCUCAGUUCAGAUUGCAGGCUGCAACUUGCCUGCAUGAAGUCGGAGUUGCUAGUAAACGCGCGUCAGCUAUAGUGCGUUGAAUGCGUUCCCGGGCCUUGUACACACCGCCCGUCACGUCAUGGGAGCUGGUAACACCUGAAGUCGGUGACCUACCGCAAGGAAGGAGCCGCCGAGGGUGGGACUGGUAACUAGGACGAAGUCGAAACAAGGUAGCUGUACCGGAAGGUGCGGCUG
Molecule: ribosomal RNA, 1222 nt
Filed under: metagenome
Description: bacterial SSU rRNA
Rfam family: Bacterial small subunit ribosomal RNA
Source: RNAcentral